Molecule: ribosomal RNA, 254 nt
Filed under: uncultured bacterium
Lineage: Bacteria
Description: partial 16S ribosomal RNA
Rfam family: Bacterial small subunit ribosomal RNA
Source: RNAcentral
CACGUAGGGGGCGAGCGUUGUCCGGAUUUAUUGGGCGUAAAGAGCUCGUAGGCGGCUCAGUAAGUCGGGUGUGAAAACUCCAGGCUCAACCUGGAGACGCCACCCGAUACUGCUGUGGCUAGAGUCCGGUAGGGGAGCAUGGAAUUCCUGGUGUAGCGGUGAAAUGCGCAGAUAUCAGGAGGAACACCAGUGGCGAAGGCGGUGCUCUGGGCCGGAACUGACGCUGAGGCUCGAAAGCGUGGGGAGCAAACAGG